RNAcentral lists this ribosomal RNA (357 nucleotides) under Triticum aestivum (bread wheat). RNAcentral describes it as "partial small subunit ribosomal RNA". Lineage: Eukaryota; Viridiplantae; Streptophyta; Magnoliopsida; Poales; Poaceae. The record is from RNAcentral.
AACACAAGUCCAUGGACAUUUAUGAGUGAUAGGCAGAAGGGUUUGAUCAAUGUUGUCAAUGCAAUAUGGCCUGAAGCUCAACACAGAUUUUGUGUAAGACAUUUGCACCAGAACUUUGCAAGAAAUGGGUUUCGAGGUGAUAUCUUGAAGAACAAGCUGUGGCAAAUUGCAAGAGCCACAAGACAGUGUGACUGGCAGAUUUACAUGGAUGAGAUGAAAGCAUUGGAUGUUGCAGCAUUUGAGUACUUGGAUGCAAUUGAUCCAAGGCAGUGGUGCAAGGCAUUCUUUGAGGAAUUGCCCAAAUGUGACUUGCUGCUGAACAACAUAUGUGAAGUGUUCAACAGGUUAGUAAAUGUG